RNAcentral lists this transfer RNA (73 nucleotides) under Ailuropoda melanoleuca (giant panda). It matches the Rfam family "tRNA". From Rfam's summary of the family: Transfer RNA (tRNA) molecules are approximately 80 nucleotides in length. Their secondary structure includes four short double-helical elements and three loops (D, anti-codon, and T loops). Lineage: Eukaryota; Metazoa; Chordata; Mammalia; Carnivora; Ursidae. The record is from Rfam by way of RNAcentral.
GCCUGGCUGGCUCAGUCAGUAGAGCAUGAGACCCUUGAUCUUGGGGUUGUGAGUUCAAGUCUUACACUGGGUA